Molecule: ribosomal RNA, 253 nt
Filed under: uncultured bacterium
Lineage: Bacteria
Description: partial 16S ribosomal RNA
Rfam family: Bacterial small subunit ribosomal RNA
Source: RNAcentral
UACGGAGGGGGCGAGCGUUAUUCGGAAUUAUUGGGCGUAAAGGGCGCGUAGGCGGCUUGAUGUGUCAAAGGUGAAAUCCCUCGGCUCAACUGAGGAACUGCCUUUGAAACUGUCUGGCUUGAGGCCGGGAGAGGGUAGCGGAAUUCCCAGUGUAGCGGUGAAAUGCGUAGAUAUUGGGAGGAACACCAGUGGCGAAGGCGGCUACCUGGACCGGUUCUGACGCUGAUGCGCGAAAGCGUGGGGAGCAAACAGG